This 822-nucleotide small RNA is filed under the name uncultured Periconia. Its description in RNAcentral is "eukaryotic LSU rRNA". The stretch from base 540 to 822 matches the Rfam family "Eukaryotic large subunit ribosomal RNA", at positions 1 to 281 of the family's 3401-position model. Lineage: Eukaryota; Fungi; Ascomycota; Sordariomycetes; Microascales; Halosphaeriaceae. The record is from RNAcentral.
CUUGGUCAUUUAGAGGAAGUAAAAGUCGUAACAAGGUUUCCGUAGGUGAACCUGCGGAAGGAUCAUUACACAUUCGGGGCGCUUCGGCGCUCCUUAUACACCCACCCUCUGCCUACGUGUACCUCUAUAGCUUCCUCGGCGGGCUCGCCCGCCGCCAGGAACCCACGAAACCCCCUUGCAUUAUACGCGAAAACUUCUGAUAACAAACCUAAAUUAUCACAACUUUCAACAAUGGAUCUCUUGGUUCUGGCAUCGAUGAAGAACGCAGCGAAAUGCGAUAAGUAGUGUGAAUUGCAGAAUUCAGUGAAUCAUCGAAUCUUUGAACGCACAUUGCGGCCAUAGGUAUUCCUUUGGCCAUGCCUGUUCGAGCGUCAUUUACACCCUCAAGCCUAGCUUGGUGUUGGGCGUCUGUCCCGCCGUUUUCGCGCGCGGACUCGCCUCAAAGUCAUUGGCGGCGGUCGUGCCGGCCCCCUCGCGCAGCACAUUUGCGCUUCUCGGAGGCCCGGCGGAUCCGCGCUCCAGCAAGACCUUUCACGACUUGACCUCGGAUCAGGUAGGGAUACCCGCUGAACUUAAGCAUAUCAAUAAGCGGAGGAAAAGAAACCAACAGGGAUUGCCCUAGUAACGGCGAGUGAAGCGGCAACAGCUCAAAUUUGAAAUCUGGCCCCUUUGGGGUCCGAGUUGUAAUUUGCAGAGGGUGCUUUGGCGUUGGCGGCGGUCUAAGUUCCUUGGAACAGGACAUCGCAGAGGGUGAGAAUCCCGUAUGUGGUCGCAUGCCUUCGCCGUGUAAAGCCCCUUCGACGAGUCGAGUUGUUUGGGAAU